UGGAAGGAGGGAUACAGGUAGAAGGGAUAAAAUGAGAGUGAGAAACAGAGGGCAAGGCGUUAUCCAUCCUCUGUCCUCUGCAUUCUCCUUCUCUUUUUCCUGUCCUUGUCUUUUCUUCUCUCUCCCAGGCCAACCGCUUACAUUUUUUAAACUCCCUUCAGGUUCAAAGAAGGGAGAAUAGAGGAACAUCCAGACUCAUCACGUGUUAAAUCAUGCAUCCUUUUAGUUCCUAAAUCCUCAUUUGUAGCUUUUAUGUACAAACACUGAUAUUUCAUUUCCUGCCUGCUCUUUAGGUGUGGAUCAUACAAACAUGCAUCUGAAGAGAAACUUUGAGGCCUUUGGCAGUUUUGACCUGCGUGGCUCACACGGCCUUUCCCAUGAUCCCACACCACUCAGAGACGAGGAGAACGGGUAACACACUUCUUAAUCUCUACAUUCAUCUCACUCUUUCACCCCCUCUCAUUCUUCAUGUUCCUCUGUCAUCUCUCACUAUUUGCAGUCAUCUUUCCUUUUUAGUUUUGUUUCCUCAUUUUUGGAAUGGGUUAUUUGUCUAAAUUUGUGUAGAGAUACAGUCGUUUUUGUGUGUGUGAGAGAGUGCGUGCGUGUUUAUGUGUGUACGUGUUUGUGUGUGUAUGACAUAAUGUUCUCAUCUGUCCCAGUCAUGGCACCGGGUGUACAGGGGAAGUGGCCAUGGAGGCCAACAACUCUUAUUGUGACGUGGGCAUCGCUUUCAACUCCAGGAUCGGUGGGGAGUACAACACUGCCCAUGUCCAUGCCAAUGUAAUCUAUCAAAAUAAAAUACCGGUAGAAGUGUUGGAUGAUUCAAAUAUGCAUCUUGUUGAAUGAUUGUACUAGUUGUACUACUACAAUAUGUACGUAUAAUAGGAUUGCACUGUACUAUGAUAAAUGUACAUUGUCUAUGAGACAUGAUAUUGUCUAUUACAGUAUACCAUUUGAAAAUCUAAAAUAAUAUUAUGGCAAAUGAAAUAUAUAAUAUAAGCCAUGCCUUAAUAACAACAUAAAGAAUAUGAUUCAAUCAGACUGUAUAGGAGACUCUAGGCGAGGUGACAAUGAACAAUACAGUAACAGUACGUUCAUGAAGAAGAGAAGAGCGGUGUUUAUAUUACCAGACAAACUAUAUGAUAUGUAGCAGUGCAGCGAUAACAUACUAUGAGGACAAUCGCACAUCAAAUGUAGUGAAAUGGCUCAAUAAAAGGCAACGACAACAGGGUAAUGCAAUGCCAGUGAUUUGGUUGUGACAUCAGCUGGAGAGAUAAUGUAUGAGUCCCAAAUUGCACCCUAUUUCCUGUAUAGCGUACUACUUUUGAUGGGCCGUGGUCAAAAGCAGUGCACAAAAUAAAAUAGGGAAUAGGGUGGUUUUUGGGAGGCAGACUAGUUAAAGUGAAUCAUAGCGCUGAGGCUUGAUAAUGAUGACAAAGGGACCACGGGCGUAUCCACAACAGAACAAUGCAUUUGCAGUGCAUUUCUUCCAUAAAGCCCAGUAAUCAAUACGUCUAUUGCAGCCAGUUUAGGUGUUGAUGUUCAGCUGUAUUUGUGAAUUAGAGUUUACACAAGUGGUGAUGAGAGAAAUCAAUCUAAUUAGUGUGUGUGUUAUUGAGCCAUAUAGACCUAAUUUAACAUCUCAUUUUGGGUUUGAGGUGUUGUAGUUCGUUUUUUAGUGAGGAUGACUAAUACAAUACAGCCGUACAGUCCAGAGCGUAAGUAUGCAUCAACAAGAAAAUGUAUUGGGACAUUUGAAUAAGAAUAUCCUCUGAAAAUCACUGUUUUGAUUCUAGUGUCACUCUAUAAUGCUAAAAGCCAACAGCUGUUCAAACCAAUUCACCGAGCUAGAUUGGCAUCAUAAUUAAUGAGCAGUAAUAAAUAAUCUUUGGAAUGAACUGUUACCCCUGACCUCUUCCCUCUGCCCCGUGACCUCUGACCUUUGACAUGGCCAGGUAUCGAUCUUCUGGACAGCACGGUGACGGACUCCGUGGAGGCCACAUCUCUGACCUUCAACAACGACUUCAUUGAUGUGUAUGUGUGCUGCUGGGGCCCGCGGGACGACGGACAGGAAAUGGCCGGGCCGGGGACACUCACACAGAAAGCACUGAGGCUGGGCAAGGGGCGAGGUAGGCAGUAUCUUUGUGUGGGCGUCUGGUAAUGGUGGGUUGGUGAACGACCACUGUGGAGCAGACGGCUAUGUCAACAGUGUCUACAGCAUUGCCGUUGGGGCUGUCACUCACACGGGCAAGCCCGCCUUUUUAGGUGACAGUGUCCAGUCUACGGGACGGUUGUGUCACCCAUUUUGCGGGGACAUCCAGUGCUGCACCCAUCGCGGCUGGGAUUCUGGCCCUUGUCCUGGAGACCAAUCCUGACUUGACGUGGAGGGAUGUGCAGCAUCUGAUCGCCAUGACAGCCAAUGUCCCCGACCCCAAAGAGCCAGGAUGGAGUGUCAACGGAGCAGGGUACCACAUCCACGACAGGGCUACAGUGGAGAGGGUCAAAAGUUUCACGUUCCUCUGCGUGCACAUCACUGAGGAUCUGAAAUGGUCCCUCCACACCGACACCCUGGUGAAGAAUGUGCAACAGCGCCUCUUCAACCUCUGGAGGCUGAAGAAAUUUGCCGUGGCCCCUAAGACUACAGAUGCACCAUCGAGAGCAUUCUGCCGGGCUGUAUCACCACCUGGUACGGCAACAGCAUCGCCCGCAACUGCAGAGCUCUCCAGAGGGGGGUGCAGUCAGCCUAAUGCAUCAUCGGGGGCACACUGCCUGCCCUCCAGGUCAUCUACAGCACCCAGUGUCACAGGCCAAGAAAAUAAUCAAGGAUCUCAGCCACUCGAUCCACGGCCUGCUUACCCUGCUACCAUCUAGCAGGUGGAGACAGUACAGGUGCAUGAAAUCUGGGACCGAAAUAAUUAAAAACAGCUUCUCCAGACUGUUUAACAGCCAUCACAAGCCGGCCCCACCCAGUACCCUGCCCUGCACCUUAGACACUGUUGCUAGCCGGCUACCACCCAGUACACAACUCUGCACCUUAGAGGCUGCUGCCCUAUGUACAUAGUCAUUGAACACUGGUCACUUUAAUAAUGUUUACACAUCGUAUAUAGCUACUGCUGUACAUACUGUUUGUAUUUAAAGACUGUAAUCUCGAUUUAGCGCGUUAUAAUAUUUCUACUACCGUACAUAGCGUUUUUGUUACACCGUUUAUACACAAUGCAUAUUUAUAUACUAUAGCUGUCGCGUUCUGACCAGUAAAAGGGGGUUAUUUGUCAUUAUAGUUAGUCAGGGCGUGGCAGGGGGGUGUUUGUUUUGUGUGUUUGGGUAUUGUGGGUUUAGGUUCUAGUUUUCCUAUUUCUAUGUUUAAUCUAGCUUUUCUAUUUCUAUGUGAGUUUUGGCAAUGACCUCCAAUUAGAGGCAGCUGGUUGUUGUCUCUAAUUGGAGGCCAUAUUUAGUUGUGUUUGUUUUCACUUGUGUUUGGUUUGUGCACCUUACUGGACUGUUUUUGUCGUUUGUUUAUUUUGAUUAAGUGUUUUCUUUAAUAAAAUUAAGAAGAUGAGCACUUUACCCGCUGCGUUUUGGUCCCCCUUCAACGACGCUUGUGACAAUAGCUCACUACAGACAAAGCUAACUCUAAUAUAUCUACUGCUGUACAUAUCAUUCUUAGUAUAUCUUGUGUAAAUAUCCUGUGUAUAUAUGUAUAGAUUGCAUUUGGCUUACUGUUACAGAGCUACUUGGGUUGUUGAUUGGAUGCGUUCCUACAUUUCUUGAUUUUAACGUUUUAUUUAAAACGUUGAAUUGUUUUAUUAUUUGUGUACUUGUUUGACAUUUUACUGCAUUGUUAAAAGCUAGCAACAUAAGUGUUUUGCUGCACCCGCUAUAACAUCUGCUAAACUGUUUACACGACCAAUAAACUUUGAUUUGAUUUUGAUUUGUGUGUGACACACAGCUGUGCCCAGAGGGACAGGGGAAGUGGAGCGCUGCACUUCCUGCGGGAGGGGGGGA
Molecule: non-coding RNA, 4002 nt
Organism: Salmo salar (Atlantic salmon)
Lineage: Eukaryota; Metazoa; Chordata; Actinopteri; Salmoniformes; Salmonidae
Source: RefSeq, a predicted model, not a curated record